GUCCCGGCCACCGCCACACGCUGUGCCCCGCGUUCGGGAGGAGGAGCGGCGGCGGAGGCGGCGGCAACAGCGGCGGGCGG
Molecule: microRNA precursor, 80 nt
Filed under: Mustela putorius furo (domestic ferret)
Lineage: Eukaryota; Metazoa; Chordata; Mammalia; Carnivora; Mustelidae
Description: miRNA (ENSMPUG00000022397.1)
Source: RNAcentral